CGAACGGGUGAGUAACGCGUGAGGAACCUGCCUCAAAGAGGGGGACAACAGUUGGAAACGACUGCUAAUACCGCAUAAGCGCACAGUACCGCAUGGUACAGUGUGAAAAACUCCGGUGGUGUGAGAUGGAUCCGCGUCUGAUUAGCCAGUUGGCGGGGUAACGGCCCACCAAAGCGACGAUCAGUAGCCGACCUGAGAGGGUGACCGGCCACAUUGGGGCUGAGACACGGCCCAA
RNAcentral lists this ribosomal RNA (235 nucleotides) under uncultured bacterium. Its description in RNAcentral is "partial 16S ribosomal RNA". It matches the Rfam family "Bacterial small subunit ribosomal RNA", at positions 99 to 334 of the family's 1533-position model. The record is from RNAcentral.